AACGAACGCUGGCGGCAGGCCUAACACAUGCAAGUCGAGCGGACCCUUCGGGGUUAGCGGCGGACGGGUGAGUAACGCGUGGGAAUAUGCCCUUCUCUACGGAAUAGUCCUGGGAAACUGGGGGUAAUACCGUAUACGCCCUUUGGGGGAAAGAUUUAUCGGGGAAGGAUUAGCCCGCGUUGGAUUAGGUAGUUGGUGGGGUAAUGGCCUACCAAGCCGACGAUCCAUAGCUGGUUUGAGAGGAUGAUCAGCCACACUGGGACUGAGACACGGCCCAGACUCCUACGGGAGGCAGCAGUGGGGAAUCUUAGACAAGGGGGGCAACCCUGAUCUAGCCAUGCCGCGUGAGUGAUGAAGGCCUUAGGGUUGUAAAGCUCUUUCAGCUGGGAAGAUAAUGACGGUACCAGCAGAAGAAGCCCCGGCUAACUCCGUG
Molecule: ribosomal RNA, 433 nt
Filed under: uncultured bacterium
Lineage: Bacteria
Description: partial 16S ribosomal RNA
Rfam family: Bacterial small subunit ribosomal RNA
Source: RNAcentral